AUGCACGCUGGCGGCGUGCCUAAUACCUGCAAGUCGCGCGCACAGACGAGGAGCUUGCUCCUCUGACGUUAGCGGCGGACGGGUGAGUAACACGUGGAUAACCUACCUAUAAGACUGGGAUAACUUCGGGAAACCGGAGCUAAUACCGGAUAAUAUAUUGAACCGCAUGGUUCAAUAGUGAAAGACGGUUUUGCUGUCACUUAUAGAUGGAUCCGCGCCGCAUUAGCUAGUUGGUAAGGUAACGGCUUACCAAGGCAACGAUGCGUAGCCGACCUGAGAGGGUGAUCGGCCACACUGGAACUGAGACACGGUCCAGACUCCUACGGGAGGCAGCAGUAGGGAAUCUUCCGCAAUGGGCGAAAGCCUGACGGAGCAACGCCGCGUGAGUGAUGAAGGUCUUCGGAUCGUAAAACUCUGUUAUUAGGGAAGAACAAAUGUGUAAGUAACUAUGCACGUCUUGACGGUACCUAAUCAGAAAGCCACGGCUAACUACGUG
This 496-nucleotide ribosomal RNA is filed under the name uncultured bacterium. RNAcentral describes it as "partial 16S ribosomal RNA". It matches the Rfam family "Bacterial small subunit ribosomal RNA", at positions 29 to 507 of the family's 1533-position model. The record is from RNAcentral.